Molecule: non-coding RNA, 82 nt
Organism: Tirmania nivea
Lineage: Eukaryota; Fungi; Ascomycota; Pezizomycetes; Pezizales; Pezizaceae
Source: the annotation of a GenBank genome assembly
UCUUUGGUAGUAUAGUGGUAAGUAUUCCUGCCUGUCAAUUGAUUGAGCGCGGGCGACUGGGGUUCAAUUCCCCGCCAAAGAG